CUCUUUUUAUCAUCAAUGCUUUUAUUUCGGGGAUAAUAAAUUGACAAGAUUUUCCACGUACUUUUAUAGUCUUUAUUGGGGAGUGUUUAUCUAUUGGGAAUUUAAAAAUAUUUCGUUAAAAAUGGUUAGUUUUUCAUUUCAUUUAGUUUUUCAUUUCAAUUGUUACUUUUUCAUUUCAUUUCAUUCCAUGUCUGGUUAGUUUACCAGUUCAUGUCUUCACAUCCCACCUUUCUCCUUCGCUUGGGCUUCUCUGACGCGUUCCUUUAUCUCGACUAAUUCUCGUUGUAAUGAAGAUAUCUUCACGUCAGAUAGCUCACUCUGAACUUCUCAACCUUCUCAAUUUCAAAGAAUAUAUAACAUGCCGUGGUGUGAUAAAUACUUGUUAAGGACUAAAGCUGACGAUUUCUUCAAAAGUCCAUGGUUAAACAUGCCGAUCCAAUCAUAGCCAUCAUAGUUUUGGUUCCUUCCUUGUUGGUUUUUAAUUGACGUUUCUCGGUCCUCUUCUUUUUGUUGAUCUUCAUACACUUCAAGCGGUCAACAUAUUCCUUGGCCAGCCCACGAAUCCUCGCACAAGGACGCCCAACCCGUGAG
This is a non-coding RNA of Paramuricea clavata, 591 nucleotides long. Lineage: Eukaryota; Metazoa; Cnidaria; Anthozoa; Malacalcyonacea; Plexauridae. The record is from the annotation of a GenBank genome assembly.